Molecule: ribosomal RNA, 504 nt
Filed under: uncultured bacterium
Lineage: Bacteria
Description: bacterial SSU rRNA
Rfam family: Bacterial small subunit ribosomal RNA
Source: RNAcentral
AUUGAACGCUGGCGGCAUGCUUUACACAUGCAAGUCGAACGGUAACAGGUCUUCGGAUGCUGACGAGUGGCGAACGGGUGAGUAAUGUAUCGGAACGUGCCCAGUAGUGGGGGAUAACUACUCGAAAGAGUGGCUAAUACCGCAUGAGAACUGAGGUUGAAAGCGGGGGACCUUCGGGCCUCGCGCUACUGGAGCGGCCGAUAUCAGAUUAGGUAGUUGGUGGGGUAAAGGCCUACCAAGCCGACGAUCUGUAGCUGGUCUGAGAGGACGACCAGCCACACUGGGACUGAGACACGGCCCAGACUCCUACGGGAGGCAGCAGUGGGGAAUUUUGGACAAUGGACGCAAGUCUGAUCCAGCAAUGCCGCGUGCAGGACGAAGGCCUUCGGUUGGUAACUAGCUUUUGUACUAGAACGAAAGGGACGUCUGGUUAAUACCUUGGGGCAGAUGACGGUACUGUAAGAAUAAGCACCGGCUAACUACGUGCCAGCAGCCGCGGUAAAG